Molecule: long non-coding RNA, 2021 nt
Organism: Folsomia candida
Lineage: Eukaryota; Metazoa; Arthropoda; Collembola; Entomobryomorpha; Isotomidae
Exons: 3
Source: RefSeq, a predicted model, not a curated record
UCGCCUUUUGUAUACCAAAGUUUUUCAACCCUUCAGUGGUUCAGAUACCCCUUCCGUACCGGUGGAGAGAAUACUUUAUCGAGGACCUCUCAUGAGCACUUUGCCACUCGUUUCACCAAUGUUAAUGAUGAAUUUCUCUAUAACCUGCCGAAAUUUUUCGAAAUUUUUUCGUGUCCUUUCUUCAUGAGAGUAUUAUUUCUUAAUUUAUUCCCAAAAUCUUUCAAUGGGUCGACACUAAGGUACAUUUGGAGCGCAGUAUUUUUUAUCGACGAAAUCAACUUUUUUCCUUCGGAGGUACCCGGUCAAUAUUUUGGCAAUGUGGCACGUACCCAUGUUCGGUAAAAAUAAAACGUCUUGGUUUUUGAUAGAGGGGGUCUAUCGCUUGAUGGCACACUCUUUGAAAUAAAGUCAAAGUUCAUAUUCCUGGUGGAAGCGAAUGGAUUUGAGACGUUCCCAUUUUUGUCGAUAUCCGGCCAUUUUAUGUAUUUCAUUGGAAAUUUUGCUUGGUUUUGAAUUUAUAUUUCGAACGAACGUCAUUUUUACUUGUACAUGAGUAGACCUUUACAGGAUUAACGCUACGAGGUCAAGGAGGCACUAGUUUUCAUCAUCCAGGACGACAAACUUCUGGGAGUCGAUUUUAACAUUUUCUCAACAAGUUUUCAACAAAUUACUUUAGCACCUCCUUUUUUAUCUUCAUUGUAUUUUUCCGUGGUUUUUGGUUUGCAAGUUUUGAAGCCCAUCUUAUUGGCAUUGAUCUUGCGCAGAUAGGUUUUUGAAUUUUUUAGUUUUCUGGGUGCAGCCCUAGGGGAUAUGUUGGGGUGGCCCCUAAAGGAUUUUUUUACGUUUCUCGUCAGUGUUUUGGUGUUCUGGCGGACAGGUGGACACGUGGAAAUUUUAUAUUUCGAAUUUUUACAAUCCUUAGAUAUGUGUAGUGUAUGACUAAUUUUGUCCGGGCCAUCCCUUGAAGAAUGAGGUGGUCAUGAGCCUUUCUUCGAUCCGAAAAAAUCAGUUUUUCGCACGAGUGGCAAACGAAUUUUUCCACUUCCUCUAAAUUUUGUGCCGUCAUUUUUUAACCAAUAGAGAUAAUCAAAUUCUGUUUUCAGCUUUAGAAAGCUUAUCAAAUUUGCUAAUUUUUGUGCUUUUUUAUUUAUCCAAAAUUAGUUUUUAAGUGGUUGAAAAAAUAGGGGGAACCUUGAUACUAUAUUUCACCGGACAGUCCAUAUCCCGACCAGGUUAAGAAUCCAGCGUAUCUGCGAAAUGUCGCCCUCUUCAUCGCGGUGGAUUCCAUAACUAUCUUUGUAAUGGCCGUGCUCUUCGUCCUGGCAUGCUGCAUGAUUCAUGGAUAUCGUAUGCGCAAUCAUCGCUGGAUUACGCCCUGGUUGAUCUGGAGCUAUGCGACCCUUGCCUGUGCCGCUGUUAUCAUUCUGGUGAUAUUUUUCAUUGCCGUCGUCGCUGGAAGUGUCGCGGGGGGAUUUCUUUUCCUCGGUGUGGGCGGGCUUUUGCUCGCAGCGGAGACCUGCUCUAUCCUCGUGGUGAAAAGAUUCGUCGAUGAAUUGAAGAGAGGCGCGGUUAAUUAGAGCUUGUCAAAAUUUUGGCAAAAAAUAACUUGAAAAGAUUUCAUGACAAUUUUGAAUUUCGAUUUAUUUAUUAAAAUAUAGUUUGAGUGUGGAAAUAAUUAUGGUCGAGGUAUUAAAAUUAGAGCCAUUUUUUACGUAAGCAGUGAAUGUAUUUAAAAUGGCUUUAAUUAUAAUGCCUCGACCAUAGUUAGUUAUUUAAACUGGUUUAAAUUAUUUGAUGUAUUGAUAUCUGCUUUGCAUCUCUGCAUCAUUUCAUUUUAAAGUUUAUUAAACUGUAAUGAGGACUAAACUUUAUUUACUUGCUUAUAUGUUCACUUAUUUACGAAACUAACAGUAAUAAAUUUACAACCAAUCAGGUCACCUGAUUCAGGUGAAAGUAUUUCCUAAUUAUGUUUAUUACAGAUUUAAGGAUUAUUUGAUGCAUACAUUUAUCGCCAAAUUAUA